AGCUGAAACAACUAAUCGAUUUAAUCGAUUAUAAUCGAUUAUUAAAAUAGUUAACAACUUUUUUAGUCAUCGAUUAGUUGUUUAAUAAUCAUAUUUUACCGCAUAAAGUCUAUUUUUUACCACAAUCUGACAUCGGUUACAAUCUGUUAAAUUUGCCGCCAGUGUGUGGCAGUAAUGAGCCACUGAUCUACCAGUGGGGCCGUAGAAGAAGAAAUUAGCCAAUAAGUGCCCUCGGUUUUCAUGACGUAUCACGUUACUGACGCGCAUCUUGCUGUGAGAGAUGGCGGAUCAACAACAAAUACGGAAGAAAAAUAGAAGCGACAAAACAAGAGAAACCCCGGACAAAAACCUCACGAGUAUGGGAGCACUUCACUAGAUGCCUUGAAAAGACCGGUGACCUACAAAAUAUGCAAAAACCAUGGCACGACGGAAGCACGACGUCCCUAAGUGAACAUUUGAGACGAAAACGUGGGGGCUGAUGCAGCAGAGGAAUGUCCGAAAAAAACAAGCAACGAUGGACAACUACAUGGGGAACAAGACACUCACCCCCAGCAAUGCAUACCACUUACAAACUCUAUUCCAGAUUCUACAUUAUUUUUUAUGGAAUUUACCUCUUAUAUUUUGAUGCCAAAAAAUUAUUCUGGACUGAUAUUUUGCACUGUUUAGCUCAUUUUACACUGCUGACUGUGGUCAUGUGCAAUAAAAUAGAUUGCAGUCAACUGCACAA
This is a long non-coding RNA of Nothobranchius furzeri (turquoise killifish), 727 nucleotides long. RefSeq lists it as uncharacterized. The record is from RefSeq and is a predicted model, not a curated record. Lineage: Eukaryota; Metazoa; Chordata; Actinopteri; Cyprinodontiformes; Nothobranchiidae.